UUACUUACCUGGACGGGGUCUAUGGCUGAUCAAUAAGAGUCAUGGCCUAGGCUAGUGACCCGCAUUGCACUUUGUGGAUGCGUUGGCCUACCAUCUCCCUUUGAAGGAGAGUGGACGUCAUAAUUUGUGGUAGAGGGGGUACGCGUUCGCGCGGCCCCUAC
Molecule: small nuclear RNA, 161 nt
Organism: Triticum aestivum (bread wheat)
Lineage: Eukaryota; Viridiplantae; Streptophyta; Magnoliopsida; Poales; Poaceae
Product: U1 spliceosomal RNA
Exons: 1
Source: RefSeq, a predicted model, not a curated record